RNAcentral lists this ribosomal RNA (198 nucleotides) under Lysinibacillus fusiformis. Its description in RNAcentral is "16S rRNA. Bacterial SSU". It matches the Rfam family "Bacterial small subunit ribosomal RNA", at positions 19 to 211 of the family's 1533-position model. Lineage: Bacteria; Bacillati; Bacillota; Bacilli; Caryophanales; Bacillaceae. The record is from RNAcentral.
CUGGCUCAGGACGAACGCUGGCGGCGUGCCUAAUACAUGCAAGUCGAGCGAACAGAGAAGGAGCUUGCUCCUUUGACGUUAGCGGCGGACGGGUGAGUAACACGUGGGCAACCUACCUUAUAGUUUGGGAUAACUCCGGGAAACCGGGGCUAAUACCGAAUAAUCUGUUUCACCUCAUGGUGAAACACUGAAAGACGG